This 1405-nucleotide ribosomal RNA is filed under the name bacterium NLAE-zl-G354. RNAcentral describes it as "16S ribosomal RNA". It matches the Rfam family "Bacterial small subunit ribosomal RNA". The record is from RNAcentral.
AGUCGAGGGGCAGCAUUUUAGUUUGCUUGCAAACUAAAGAUGGCGACCGGCGCACGGGCUGAGUAACACGCUAUCCAACCUGCCGAUAACUCGGGGAUAGCCUUUCGAAAGAAAGAUUAAUAUCCGAUAGUAUAUUAAAACCGCAUGGUUUUACUAUUAAAGAAUUUCGGUUAUCGAUGGGGAUGCGUUCCAUUAGUUUGUUGGCGGGGUAACGGCCCACCAAGACUACGAUGGAUAGGGGUUCUGAGAGGAAGGUCCCCCACAUUGGAACUGAGACACGGUCCAAACUCAUACGGGAGGCAGCAGUGAGGAAUAUUGGUCAAUGGACGAGAGUCUGAANCCAGCCAAGUAGCGUGAAGGAUGACUGCCCUAUGGGUUGUAAACUUCUUUUAUAUGGGAAUAAAGUAUUNCCACGUGUGGGAUUUUUGUAUGUACCAUAUGAAUAAGGAUCGGCUAACUCCGUGCCAGCAGCCGCGGUAAUACGGAGGAUCCGAGCGUUAUCCGGAUUUAUUGGGUUUAAAAGGGAGCGUAGGUGGAUUGUUAAGUCAGUUGUGAAAGUUUGCGGCUCAACCGUAAAAUUGCAGUUGAAACUGGCAGUCUUGAGUACAGUAGAGGUGGGCGGAAUUCGUGGUGUAGCGGUGAAAUGCUUAGAUAUCACGAAGAACUCCGAUUGCGAAGGCAGCUCACUAGACUGCAACUGACACUGAUGCUCGAAAGUGUGGGUAUCAAACAGGAUUAGAUACCCUGGUAGUCCACACAGUAAACGAUGAAUACUCGCUGUUUGCGAUAUACAGUAAGCGGCCAAGCGAAAGCAUUAAGUAUUCCACCUGGGGAGUACGCCGGCAACGGUGAAACUCAAAGGAAUUGACGGGGGCCCGCACAAGCGGAGGAACAUGUGGUUUAAUUCGAUGAUACGCGAGGAACCUUUACCCGGGCUUAAAUUGCAUUUGAAUAAUCUGGAAACAGGUUACCCGCAAGGCAAAUGUGAAGGUGCUGCAUGGUUGGUCGUCAGCUCGUGCCGUGAGGUGUCGGCUUAAGUGCCAUAACGAGCGCAACCCUUAUCUUUAGUUACUAACAGGUCAUGCUGAGGACUCUAGAGAGACUGCCGUCGUAAGAUGUGAGGAAGGUGGGGAUGACGUCAAAUCAGCACGGCCCUUACGUCCGGGGCUACACACGUGUUACAAUGGGGGGUACAGAAGGCAGCUACCUGGCGACAGGAUGCUAAUCCCAAAAACCUCUCUCAGUUCGGAUCGAAGUCUGCAACCCGACUUCGUGAAGCUGGAUUCGCUAGUAAUCGCGCAUCAGCCAUGGCGCGGUGAAUACGUUCCCGGGCCUUGUACACACCGCCCGUCAAGCCAUGAAAGCCGGGGGUACCUGAAGUACGUAACCGCAAGGAGCUCCUAGG